This 819-nucleotide ribosomal RNA is filed under the name uncultured Actinomycetes bacterium. RNAcentral describes it as "bacterial SSU rRNA". It matches the Rfam family "Bacterial small subunit ribosomal RNA", at positions 335 to 1167 of the family's 1533-position model. Lineage: Bacteria; Bacillati; Actinomycetota; Actinomycetes. The record is from RNAcentral.
ACUCCUACGGGAGGCAGCAGUGGGGAAUAUUGCACAAUGGGCGCAAGCCUGAUGCAGCAACGCCGCGUGAGGGACGACGGCCUUCGGGUUGUAAACCUCUUUUAGUAGGGAAGAAGCGAAAGUGACGGUACCUGCAGAAAAAGCACCGGCUAACUACGUGCCAGCAGCCGCGGUAAUACGUAGGGUGCAAGCGUUAUCCGGAAUUAUUGGGCGUAAAGAGCUCGUAGGCGGUCUGUCGCGUCUGCUGUGAAAACUGGGGGCUCAACCCCCAGCCUGCAGUGGGUACGGGCAGACUAGAGUGCGGUAGGGGAGAUUGGAAUUCCUGGUGUAGCGGUGGAAUGCGCAGAUAUCAGGAGGAACACCGAUGGCGAAGGCAGAUCUCUGGGCCGUAACUGACGCUGAGGAGCGAAAGCAUGGGGAGCGAACAGGAUUAGAUACCCUGGUAGUCCAUGCCGUAAACGUUGGGAACUAGAUGUAGGGACCAUUCCACGGUUUCUGUGUCGCAGCUAACGCAUUAAGUUCCCCGCCUGGGGAGUACGGCCGCAAGGCUAAAACUCAAAGGAAUUGACGGGGGCCCGCACAAGCGGCGGAGCAUGCGGAUUAAUUCGAUGCAACGCGAAGAACCUUACCAAGGCUUGACAUAUAGAGGAAAAGGCUAGAAAUAGUCUCCCCGCAAGGUCUCUAUACAGGUGGUGCAUGGUUGUCGUCAGCUCGUGUCGUGAGAUGUUGGGUUAAGUCCCGCAACGAGCGCAACCCUCGUUCUAUGUUGCCAGCACGUAAUGGUGGGAACUCAUAGGAGACUGCCGGGGUCAACUCGGA